AUCUUCACCUGGUACAUUACAUGAAGUUGCACUUAUUCCAAGUGAUGCAAGCUUAUCGUUGAUGUUUUUACCCAGACACAAUAAAUCAUCAAUACUACUACCACGUUUAGCCAGUGCACCCAAUAUCUACCAAUAAUAAGUAUCGAUCCUCGAGUCUACGGAGGAGGGGGAGAUCCCUUGCCACCGCUUGGAUUCGCGCCUGUAUACUUACCAAAUGGAUAUGGUUCAUGUCCAGAUCCACCGCCACCAAGUAAACAAACUCGUUUUUCUGAUUUCUAAAAAUAUUUUAAUAUUAAUAUUUUUAUUCGAUGAUGUAAUAGUAAAUAGUAAUAAAGUAAUAAUACAAAUUAUAAUAAAAAAUUAUAAACUAACCAA
Molecule: long non-coding RNA, 375 nt
Organism: Rhopalosiphum padi (bird cherry-oat aphid)
Lineage: Eukaryota; Metazoa; Arthropoda; Insecta; Hemiptera; Aphididae
Exons: 2
Source: RefSeq, a predicted model, not a curated record